AACGAACGCUGGCGGCAGGCCUAACACAUGCAAGUCGAACGAACUCUUCGGAGUGAGUGGCGCACGGGUGCGUAACGCGUGGGAAUAUACCCUUGGGUACGGAACAACGUCUGGAAACGGACGCUAAUACCGUAUAAUGACUUCGGUCCAAAGAUUCAUCGCCCAAGGAUUAGCCCGCGUUAGAUUAGAUAGUUGGUGAGGUAAUGGCUCACCAAGUCGACGAUCUAUAGGGGGUCUGAGAGGAUGAUCCCCCACACUGGGACUGAGACACGGCCCAGACUCCUACGGGAGGCAGCAGUGAGGAAUAUUGGACAAUGGAGGAAACUCUGAUCCAGCCAUGCCGCGUGAGUGAAGACGGCCUUAGGGUUGUAAAGCUCUUUCAGAUGUGAAGAUAAUGACGGUAGCAUCAGAAGAAGCCCCGGCUAAAUUCG
Molecule: ribosomal RNA, 431 nt
Filed under: uncultured Alphaproteobacteria bacterium
Lineage: Bacteria; Pseudomonadati; Pseudomonadota; Alphaproteobacteria
Description: bacterial SSU rRNA
Rfam family: Bacterial small subunit ribosomal RNA
Source: RNAcentral